AAAAACAUUUCUUAUAAAAUUUUUAUAAGUAAAAUCUGCUCCAUGAUUAUAAAUAGCCGCAGAAUUCUAACUGUGCUAAGGUAGCAUAAUCAUUUACCUUUUAAUUAAAGGUCUGCAUGAAUGAUUUUACAAUUAAAUUAUUUUUUUACAAAUAUUUAUUUAAAUUAAACUAAAAAUAAAAAUGUUUUUAUACAAAAAAAAGACGAUAAGACCCUAUUGAACUUUACCUACGUUCAGCUGGGGAAGCUAGUUAAAUAUAAUUUUAAUGAUACCUACUUUAAUAAACCCCUAAUAAAAUUAUUUUAAACAAGUUACCAUAGGGAUAACAGCGUAAUAUAAUUUUAAAGCUCAUAUUAAAAAUUAAGCUUACGACCUCGAUGUUGAAUU
RNAcentral lists this ribosomal RNA (387 nucleotides) under Diplocephalus cristatus. Its description in RNAcentral is "partial 16S ribosomal RNA". It matches the Rfam family "Bacterial large subunit ribosomal RNA", at positions 1809 to 2538 of the family's 2925-position model. The record is from RNAcentral. Lineage: Eukaryota; Metazoa; Arthropoda; Arachnida; Araneae; Linyphiidae.